AAGGUUGACCUCGGAUCAGGUAGGGAUACCCGCUGAACUUAAGCAUAUCAAUAAGCGGAGGAA
Molecule: ribosomal RNA, 63 nt
Filed under: Macrophomina phaseolina
Lineage: Eukaryota; Fungi; Ascomycota; Dothideomycetes; Botryosphaeriales; Botryosphaeriaceae
Also listed under: 1 other name
Description: partial 28S ribosomal RNA
Rfam family: Eukaryotic large subunit ribosomal RNA
Source: RNAcentral